GGGGGGGGGGGGGGGGGGGGUGGGGGGGGGCGGGGCGGGGGGGGGCGCGCGGCUGGCUGGGUUGGGUGGUGGCGUGCGGGUGAGUCACCCGUGAGUACCCUGCGCUUGACUCUAGGGUAAGCCCGGGCAACUGGGUCUCAUACUGCAUAGUCACUUCUACCGCAUGGUUGUUGUUUGCAAGACUUUCGGUCAUGGCUCGACUCGCUGCCUAUCAGCUUCUUGGUGAGGUAAUGGCUCACCACGGCGACGACGGGUAGCCGGCCUGAGAGGGUGACCGGCCACACUGGGACUGAGACACGGCCCAGACUCCUACGGGAGGCAGCAGUGGGGAAUAGUGCACAAUGGGCGAAAGCCUGAUGCAGCGACGCCGCGUGCGGGAUGACGGCAUUCGGGUUGUAAACCUCUUUCAGUAGGGAAGAAGCGAAAGUGACGGUACCUGCAGAAGAAGCACCGGCUAACUACGUG
RNAcentral lists this ribosomal RNA (465 nucleotides) under uncultured bacterium. RNAcentral's name for it is "partial 16S ribosomal RNA". It matches the Rfam family "Bacterial small subunit ribosomal RNA", at positions 39 to 507 of the family's 1533-position model. The record is from RNAcentral.